CCCGGCUACUGAAGGGCGAAGGCGGGGUUCACCCUGGACAGGUCGCCAGUCUGUCUCAGGGCCGUAAUAAUAAAUCUUUCAUUGAAUUCCCUCUGGUCCUGAGUCAUUCUCACUUAUCAGACACACCUUUACCCGGCACCGGACGCUGUACCAAAUGUGAACCAGUACCCUAACCCAGUACUGGUUCACGAACCAAAUUCACGAACCAGGUACUGGAUAAGGGUACUAGUGGAAUCCGUGUACCGGUACUUGACCGGUUCUGGUUUGUGGCCCGGAGGUAGGGGACCCCUGGAAAUCAAGGGUUUGCAGCCCUCGGGAUACAGUACCAGACAUGGACUGGUCCUCGUGACGUGUCAAAAACUGGUACCCUAACCCUAACUGCUGUUAGUACCAGGUUUGAGUACCAGUACUGGACAUGAUACCGUAUGCAGUACCAGAUGUGGUACCAGCACUUUACCGAGGGGCAAACUGGGUCUGGAUGAGAUACCAGGACCAGGAGGCCCAGAGGCUGGGGACGUGGUAACAUGUCAAAAAAAACAACCAGUUGGGGACACCCAAAACGUACAUUUUUGACAUGAAGGAGUCUUUAACCAAACAUCGAAAUGUGACGAGUUGGUAGUGAGAAUGUGUUGGUGCAGCCAACCAAACACACCUGAGUCCAACAAAAGUCCCAUAAAUGAGCAUUCAUGGUGGAUCAUUCACUAAACUAUAACCUGGACCUCAUUUCCAAUACUGUUCAUGAGAAAUCUCCAGAAAUGUUGUCGUCCGUGCUGAAAAAAGGUCGACUCCUCCCCUUUGGGGCAACAAUCGAGGCGAGGUGAAAAAAAAAACCUAAAAGAAAAAAAAAA
Molecule: long non-coding RNA, 848 nt
Organism: Oryzias melastigma (Indian medaka)
Lineage: Eukaryota; Metazoa; Chordata; Actinopteri; Beloniformes; Adrianichthyidae
Exons: 2
Source: RefSeq, a predicted model, not a curated record